Molecule: ribosomal RNA, 1105 nt
Filed under: Alcaligenes sp.
Lineage: Bacteria; Pseudomonadati; Pseudomonadota; Betaproteobacteria; Burkholderiales; Alcaligenaceae
Description: bacterial SSU rRNA
Rfam family: Bacterial small subunit ribosomal RNA
Source: RNAcentral
GUGGGGGAAUUUUGGACAAUGGGGGAAACCCUGAUCCAGCCAUCCCGCGUGUAUGAUGAAGGCCUUCGGGUUGUAAAGUACUUUGGCAGAGAGAAAAGGUACCUCCUAAUACGAGGUACUGCUGACGGUAUCUGCAGAAUAAGCACCGGGCUAACUACGUGCCAGCAGCCGCGGUAAUACGUAGGGUGCAAGCGUUAAUCGGAAUUACUGGGCGUAAAGCGUGUGUAGGCGGUUCGGAAAGAAAGAUGUGAAAUCCCAGGGCUCAACCUUGGAACUGCAUUUUUAACUGCCGAGCUAGAGUAUGUCAGAGGGGGGUAGAAUUCCACGUGUAGCAGUGAAAUGCGUAGAUAUGUGGAGGAAUACCGAUGGCGAAGGCAGCCCCCUGGGAUAAUACUGACGCUCAGACACGAAAGCGUGGGGAGCAAACAGGAUUAGAUACCCUGGUAGUCCACGCCCUAAACGAUGUCAACUAGCUGUUGGGGCCGUUAGGCCUUAGUAGCGCAGCUAACGCGUGAAGUUGACCGCCUGGGGAGUACGGUCGCAAGAUUAAAACUCAAAGGAAUUGACGGGGACCCGCACAAGCGGUGGAUGAUGUGGAUUAAUUCGAUGCAACGCGAAAAACCUUACCUACCCUUGACAUGUCUGGAAUGCCGAAGAGAUUUGGCAGUGCUCGCAAGAGAACCGGAACACAGGUGCUGCAUGGCUGUCGUCAGCUCGUGUCGUGAGAUGUUGGGUUAAGUCCCGCAACGAGCGCAACCCUUGUCAUUAGUUGCUACGCAAGAGCACUCUAAUGAGACUGCCGGUGACAAACCGGAGGAAGGUGGGGAUGACGUCAAGUCCUCAUGGCCCUUAUGGGUAGGGCUUCACACGUCAUACAAUGGUCGGGACAGAGGGUCGCCAACCCGCGAGGGGGAGCCAAUCUCAGAAACCCGAUCGUAGUCCGGAUCGCAGUCUGCAACUCGACUGCGUGAAGUCGGAAUCGCUAGUAAUCGCGGAUCAGAAUGUCGCGGUGAAUACGUUCCCGGGUCUUGUACACACCGCCCGUCACACCAUGGGAGUGGGUUUCACCAGAAGUAGGUAGCCUAACCGUAAGGAGGGCCGGCCA